This 253-nucleotide ribosomal RNA is filed under the name uncultured bacterium. RNAcentral describes it as "partial 16S ribosomal RNA". It matches the Rfam family "Bacterial small subunit ribosomal RNA", at positions 524 to 776 of the family's 1533-position model. The record is from RNAcentral.
UACGUAGGGUGCGAGCGUUAAUUGGAAUUACUGGGCGUAAAGCGUGCGCAGGCGGCGCGUUAAGACAGGUGUGAAAGCCCCGAGCUUAACUUGGGAAUUGCGCUUGUGACUGGCGUGCUGGAGUGUGGCAGAGGGAGGUGGAAUUCCACGUGUAGCAGUGAAAUGCGUAGAGAUGUGGAGGAACACCGAUGGCGAAGGCAGCCUCCUGGGCCAGCACUGACGCUCAUGCACGAAAGCGUGGGGAGCAAACAGG